AUUGAACGCUGGCGGCAUGCUUUACACAUGCAAGUCGAACGGUAACAGGGAGCUUGCUCCGCUGACGAGUGGCGAACGGGUGAGUAAUGCAUCGGAACGUACCCAGUCGUGGGGGAUAACGUAGCGAAAGUUACGCUAAUACCGCAUACGUCCUGAGGGAGAAAGCGGGGGACCGAAAGGCCUCGCGCGAUUGGAGCGGCCGAUGUCGGAUUAGCUAGUUGGUAGGGUAAAGGCCUACCAAGGCGACGAUCCGUAGCGGGUCUGAGAGGAUGAUCCGCCACACUGGGACUGAGACACGGCCCAGACUCCUACGGGAGGCAGCAGUGGGGAAUUUUGGACAAUGGGCGAAAGCCUGAUCCAGCCAUGCCGCGUGAGUGAAGAAGGCCUUCGGGUUGUAAAGCUCUUUCAGCCGGAAAGAAAUCGCACAGGCUAAUACUUUGUGUGGAUGACGGUACCGGAAGAAGAAGCACCGGCUAACUACGUG
This 484-nucleotide ribosomal RNA is filed under the name uncultured bacterium. RNAcentral describes it as "bacterial SSU rRNA". It matches the Rfam family "Bacterial small subunit ribosomal RNA", at positions 29 to 507 of the family's 1533-position model. The record is from RNAcentral.